ACAAAAGAGCAAAUAAUUAAUCUUUCACAAGAACAUGUAUAUAAAAUACUAUUAUGUAUUUCACGUAUGUUCUAUAUUUCUGUUACAGCUCCACUUCAUACUAUAGGAAUAGGUUGGAAAAAUAUCCAAUUUCCAUCAUAUAGGAAUCUUUUAAUCUUUGAGCUAUUAUCCGCAAGGUGGCACUGUUGUUGAGAUUGCAUUCACACAAAAAGUGGAAAAGAUAGUUUUAAUAAUAGUAGUAGUAAAUUAAUUUGCAACAAAUUCUACAUGUUAUAUGCAAUCAUAGGAGCUAUUAUCCGCAAGGUGGCACUGUUGUUGAGAUUGCAUUCACACAAAAAGGGGAAAAGGUAGUUGUAAUAAUAGUAGUAGUAAAUUAAUUUGCAACAAGUUCUACAUGUUAUAUGCAAUCAUAGGAGCUAUUAUCCGCAAGGUGGCACUGUUGUUGAGAUUGCAUUCACACAAAAAGGGGAAAAGGUGAUUGUAAUAGUGGUAGUAGUAGUAUUAGUAGUAGUAGAUGCAAUGUGUCGUUGAAUUAAUGGGGAUAACUACGUUAGGGAGGGUCGCGUGGCAUCAGAGUAAACGUGAAAGAGAAAA
RNAcentral lists this long non-coding RNA (594 nucleotides) under Polistes fuscatus (common paper wasp). Its description in RNAcentral is "uncharacterized LOC122514839, transcript variant X2". The record is from RNAcentral. Lineage: Eukaryota; Metazoa; Arthropoda; Insecta; Hymenoptera; Vespidae.